GACCUUUCGCGAUUGGAUGUACCUAGGUGGGAUUAGCUUGUUGGUGAGGUAAGAGCUCACCAAGGCGACGAUCCCUAGCUGUUCUGAGAGGAUGAUCAGCCACACUGGGACUGAGACACGGCCCAGACUCCUACGGGAGGCAGCAGUGGGGAAUAUUGCACAAUGGGCGAAAGCCUGAUGCAGCCAUGCCGCGUGUGUGAAGAAGGCCUUCGGGUUGUAAAGCACUUUCAGCGAGGAGGAAAGGUUAACGGUUAAUACCCGUUAGCUGUGACGUUACUCGCAGAAGAAGCACCGGCUAACUUCGUGCCAGCAGCCGCGGUAAUACGAGGGGUGCAAGCGUUAAUCGGAAUUACUGGGCGUAAAGCGUACGCAGGCGGUUUGUUAAGCGAGAUGU
Molecule: ribosomal RNA, 394 nt
Filed under: Shewanella sp. CR-IV-E28
Lineage: Bacteria; Pseudomonadati; Pseudomonadota; Gammaproteobacteria; Alteromonadales; Shewanellaceae
Description: bacterial SSU rRNA
Rfam family: Bacterial small subunit ribosomal RNA
Source: RNAcentral